Molecule: non-coding RNA, 70 nt
Organism: Rattus norvegicus (Norway rat)
Lineage: Eukaryota; Metazoa; Chordata; Mammalia; Rodentia; Muridae
Source: Rfam
GGGGAUUUAGCUCAGUGGUAGAGCGCUUGCCUAGCAAGCACAAGGCCCUGGGUUCGGUCCCCAGCUUCCA